UAUAGCUAAUGGGAGCGGUAACCUACGUGGUACAGGCUAUGAUAAGGCGCGGGCAGCGAAACAUCGUUCUCUGCACACACGGAAACUCGAUCGGCUAGCGCGACACGGAGGAGCCUCGAGCGUGUUGUCCGGUCCAUGAUUCAACGGGACGAGAUGCAGCAGGUUUCGCGUAGACGAGAGCAAAUUGGCCAGACGGCGUCCGAUAACGCGAUGACGCUUCCGCCAUCGGCUCGCCUUCUGUCUCACUGGACACGAGGGCGCUCUUUCAAUUACCGCGACCGGAUGGUAGGUCGCAUCGCCUGCCAAGGGGGACAGUUGGAUACGCGGGCAGAUAGAUCGACAGAUAUACGUGCGUCGUUGCAUCUGUGCUAAAAAUGCUCGCUUAAAUGCGAAGAGGAGACGAUAGGGGAACCGAUCUCGCGUCUCGAGAGGCAAAGCGUGCCUGGACGUGCUCGUGAAAUUCGAUCGGUUUCGGUCUAACCAGGCCCUCUCGGAUAUCGAAAGAGGCCUGGAUGAUUUACCUUUCGGAGGUCUUGUAGGUGCAAGGCUUUAGGGUCCGUGAUAAGGUCUAGGAAAAAAUUGGCAAUCUGGGAAAGGAACGCGGCUGGAACUGCGACCGAAUUUCUUCCGAUAACUGUCCCCUUCGAGGCGAGUUUCACUUCGAGUCAAGGUUGGGCAUAUUUACGCGAUUACGGUCGCUGGCUGCGAAGCAGGCAGGUGGCGAAGGCAACGCGAAACGAGAGAACGUGCGUGCGUGUCAUCGAGACGGCCGAAUUAUUUGGCGGUGGAUCGCGAAGCCUCUUUUCGCACCUGGCGUUGUCAAAAACGGCCAGCUCUCCGGCCGCUGUCGACUCGGAUCCACGACGGUUCCACUCGAUAGGGAUCGAUCGCCACGCUUCCGACAAGUUUCAUCUCGUCGUUCCUUCUUUCGCAGAUCUCGAGACAAGCGCGUUCGACGAAAUAGAAAAGGUUCGAAUACGCUGGAGGCGGCAACCGGCGGCGUUCGUUGGAAUUCGACGAGCUGUUCAAGCCCGAGGAGAGAUCGGCGAAGGCUCCCACGCUUGCCACGCAGCUAUGCGAUAAUGGAACGAAGGAAUCUCGGUAUCGCUCGGUAACCGACGGUAGCGAUCGGUACUGGACUCUCUCAAUUUCGUGCGAUCGAUCGCGUCCCCUGUAGCGACAGAGUUCGUUAAGGAUCGCAGGACUCGAUGAUCGCGAAAAAUCGACGACUUGGACAUCCCAGGCUUUCACAGCCUGGCUCUUGGUGGAUACUAACGGAGACUUCCGGAUGGUAGUUUCGCAAGCAUCGAACUGGCUUCUCAAGGGUUCAAAUGACACACUGAUAUUGGCGUGCGUCGCGUAACUUGGAUAAUUUUAAGGUACCUCUGUUAAUGCACGGUUCAUUGGCUACCGAUCACCGAGCUCGUGGCACGAUUCACUGGUCACUGAUAGAAGUUUGACUGAAUUAACGAAAAACUGGGAAGGAACGCGUUCCAGAUAGGGUUCAAAGUUUCUUCAGUUUCCUGUAUACUCGAUGUCCGAGAGUUCAACCAGAACUUGGACUCGGUGACGAAGCCGUGGCUUUUAUCGAUGAAACCUGGAGGUUCGACAUUUCGUCCGCGACUCGUGUUUUUCUAUGAAAUUUACACCGACGAACCGUGGGAAACGUACGGGACUCGAGUUACCGCUCCUCGGAGCGGCUGGAGAAUAGCCGCGACGCAUUUAAGCGGACAAACAACCCGAUACCUCGUCUUCUAUUUAUCGCUUCGUACUCGACCCUCGAGAGUACCAUUUACCGACUACCGUGGUACACGUUGGCGGACCGCUGCCUCGCGUUGGCCUCCAGACUUUUCCGUUUACGUGGGCACGGACGAUACCAGCUGCGAGGAUACUCGCUCGGGCCCAUCCACCGUUAUUCCCCACCGACAAUCCUGCUACGCUUUUAGUCCUUUCGGAUUUUCCCGGAUCACUCGCCGAGGAACUUUGUUUAAACCUCUUUAGGGACGAAUUACUUUAUUAGACAUUUUUAUAUUUGCCUGUAACAUCUAUCAGGUUAAAGAGCUACAGUUCUAUCUGCGUUGAAAAAUUGAGUAAUCUAAUGCAUAUCCAAGAUACAACCAAGUAGAAGCUUUGGAUCGAAACGGUGGCCGAGGUAGACGCUGGAAGAGGAACGUCGCGACGGCGACGCGACGGAAGGAACGAGCCUCGGCGGGACUCAACAGGUUUGUUGGCUGCCACAAAGCGGACGUCCUAGCGAUGGUAGUUUCGUCGCCACGUAGCGGUCCGAUGGGUUAUUUUGGAUGGAUAUUUGACACAGGGGUCGGUAAACUAUGGGCCGCAGGCUAGGUCUGGUCCGCAACGUAUUAUCGUACGACCCGUGGUGCUAAGAACAAUUGUUAAGCGAACGUAACGAUGCACGAGGUACAGCGACGACUUAUUGUUAGCAGGCUCUGACGAGGCCCUAGAAAAGUGUCCUAUCUUGGAAUAACUCCGAACGGAACCGUCACGGCGAGUGGGUCUCGUUGAAUUAUUUUUAACGCUCUGAAAUCGUUCGACGCCCAUCGAAGCACUACGACGACCGACUUUACUUUCGGAGGAACGGCGUUGUCGGCUGGGGCUCGUCUCGAAAAGCUAUGCAACCGCGGCUACGACGGGAUAUUCGUCUCGGUUGGCCGAGACGUAGACGACUCGGACAGGUGUACGAGAAAAUACGAAUAGGUUUAGGGUAUCGGUUACAAAGCUCGACGAGAGCCGACCCUUUACAACCCUGGUCGCAUCAAGACCGUAUUGUUCGUCGAGGAAAAUUUACGAAUGCCAAGCGUGCGGGUGGUGCGAGAGUGUGCGAGCGUAACGAGUCCCUUGGCGCAGGUCUGAUUUAUGCGAGGUCGCAAGGAAAGAACCCAGGGCCUCUCACCUGCCCAGAUCUUUCUGCCUGGUAUUCUACCUUAGCCUCCGUCACCCAUCCUGCGUCGAUGCUUCAAGUCAAAUUUCAUCGAUCCGUCACGAUAUCGAAGAGAAUCGUGCAACCUAGCGUCACCUCGCUCCGUUUCGCAUUAAUUCCACUGUUGCGCCAACCAGUACCGUUUCAGGUUUUAUUAUCAUACUAAAUUUAUCAUAAUCCCGAAAAAAUGAAUUUUAUCACAGCUUUGUUUACGGGUUCGACCACCGC
Hylaeus anthracinus is the source of this 3169-nucleotide long non-coding RNA. RefSeq lists it as uncharacterized. The record is from RefSeq and is a predicted model, not a curated record. The transcript is spliced from 7 exons. NCBI's taxonomy places the organism in Eukaryota, Metazoa, Arthropoda, Insecta, Hymenoptera, Colletidae.